Nicotiana tabacum (common tobacco) is the source of this 826-nucleotide long non-coding RNA. RefSeq lists it as uncharacterized. The record is from RefSeq and is a predicted model, not a curated record. NCBI's taxonomy places the organism in Eukaryota, Viridiplantae, Streptophyta, Magnoliopsida, Solanales, Solanaceae.
AAAUAUUUCCCCCCAAUACAAGACAAUGAAAUCAUCGUCCAAAUAAUACUAGUGGGAAAACUUUCCUCAAUUCUUUUCUCUCAUCUGCCGCUUCACCUUCACUGCCUCCCUUAACCUAAUUCAUUCCUUUUCAUUCAUUGCUGCAACUGUCUUCCGGAUUACUCUCACCCAUAGCAAAUCUCCAUCCCUUUCUCUAUUGCGCGCAACCAAAGAGAACAACGAGGAACCAUCAAAGUCUGAAAUGUUUAAUACAACUCGUACAAAGAAAGGGAAGGAAAUUCAUACGGAUACUCAAGUUGCAAUAUCUGAACUUCAGAAUCGUCAAAGUUCCGGAGAAACAACAGAUGAUGCAUUUAGGGCUGUAUUUGGAAAGGAGCAGCCUGGUCGGGUUAGAUGCUAUGGUAGAUCGGCGACGACAAACUCUGAAAAAAGAUGAAGAAAUCACCAAGCUUAAACAAAAGCAUGCCAACGAAAUAACUUCUCUGAAGGAAGAAAUGAAGGAAAUGAUGAGAGAAGAAAUACGAUAUUUUUUUAGUCAAUUGGUGAAAAACAACCCUGGACUGGAUUUUCAUGAAAUUCAAGAGUGUGUUGGAUCUAAUAUUCCUUCACCGGUUGAUGCAAGUAGUGCACGAGCUAUGAGAGGCCAUAAUCUACCAUAUUCUUCUGGCUCAACUCAUGCCCCGAGUCUUGAAAAGGAAAAUACGGGUGAUGCAAUUGGAAAUGGUGGCUACAAAUCAAUUUGAUUCAUUAAAGUAAAUGGUGAAUACCUUUUGAACAAUUGUGAUGUUUAUUUUUUUUUUAUAUUGAUACAAUAAAUAUUUUCACA